ACUAACACAGCCAGGGAGGACUGGGGAAGGAUUCCAGCUGCCUGAGCUAAGCCAGGAAGGGAAAAUUGGAGUUAGCAAGGCAAGGAAGGUCAUUCCAGGCAGUGGAAACAGAAUGAGCAAAGGCAAGAGAAAAGGCUAUUUGCUUUUGAGCUACUCCGGGAGAGGAGCAAAGAGUCGGUUUGAGUUGCAUGACUGACAUCUUCUGGCUACAGUGGAUAUUACAGAAAGACUGAAACUCCGCAAAGGUGUGUUUGAAAAAAAGAAAAGCACCCUGGAAUUUGGAUCAUUAAGACUCUAGACAUGUGACCUGGAGAUGCAGCAUCCAUCUUGUGACCAUGAAGCAAUAGGGAUAAGGGUAAAAGUCUACACAUUGUAGAUUGCAGAUAAAAACAUGAAAAGAUCCUGGCUGCCUGAUGACACUACAGGUUAAUAAAAAAUACCUCAGAGAUUCA
Molecule: long non-coding RNA, 452 nt
Organism: Gorilla gorilla gorilla (western lowland gorilla)
Lineage: Eukaryota; Metazoa; Chordata; Mammalia; Primates; Hominidae
Exons: 4
Source: RefSeq, a predicted model, not a curated record